ACCUCUCUGGACCGUCUGAUACCCCCGCCGGACCUCUCUGGACCGUCUGAUACCCCCGCCGGACCUCUCUGGACCGUCUGAUAGCCCCUCCGGACCUCUCUGGACCGUCUGAUAGCCCCGCCGGACCUCUCUGGACCGUUGGACACAUCAUGGUGGUUUCUGUGUCACCCCUGGACUGAUAGGAUGGGGUGUGACCUGUGACUUACGUAAUGGAGAACAGCUGUACCCCCCAUUCACACUACAGGGGGUCUCCUGAAGUCCCUGUCUCUCUGUCCUUAGCCAUGCUGGAAGCCCUUUUUCUAUCUCCACUCCACUGACAGGGAGAUCAGUAUCUUGGUCUGUCUGUCCUCACAGAGAGACUGGGGCUGAAUAUGGGUCUGUCCUCACAGAGAGACUGGGGCUGAAUAUGGGUCUGUCCACACAGAGAGACUAGGGCUGAAUAUGGGUCUGUCCACACAGAGAGACUAGGGCUGAAUAUGGGUCAGUCCUCCUCACAGAGAGACUGGGGCUGAAUAUGGGUCAGUCCACACAGAGAGACUGGGGCUGAAUAUGGGUCUGUCCACACAGAGAGACUAGGGCUGAAUAUGGGUCAGUCCUCCUCACAGAGAGACUGGGGCUGAAUAUGGGUCAGUCCUCCACACAGAGAGACUAGGGCUGAAUAUGGGUCAGUCCUCCACACAGAGAGACUGGGGCUGAAUAUGGGUCAGUCCUCACAGAGAGACUAGGGCUGAAUAUGGGUCUGUCCACACAGAGAGACUAGGGCUGAAUAUGGGUCUGUCCACACAGAGAGACUAGGGCUGAAUAUGGGUCAGUCCACACAGAGAGACUAGGGCUGAAUAUGGGUCUGUCCACACAGAGAGACUAGGGCUGAAUAUGGGUCUGUCCACACAGAGAGACUAGGGCUGAAUAUGGGUCUGUCCACACAGAGAGACUAGGGCUGAAUAUGGGUCUGUCCACACAGAGAGACUAGGGCUGAAUAUGGGUCAGUCCUCCACACAGAGAGACUAGGGCUGAAUAUGGGUCUGUCCACACAGAGAGACUAGGGCUGAAUAUGGGUCUGUCCUCACAGAGAGACUGGGGCUGAAUAUGGGUCUGUCCACACAGAGAGACUGGGGCUGAAUAUGGGUCUGUCCACACAGAGAGACUAGGGCUGAAUAUGGGUCAGUCCUCCACACAGAGAGACUGGGGCUGAAUAUGGGUCAGUCCUCACAGAGAGACUAGGGCUGAAUAUGGGUCAGUCCUCCACACAGAGAGACUAGGGCUGAAUAUGGGUCAGUCCUCACAGAGAGACUAGGGCUGAAUAUGGGUCUGUCCACACAGAGAGACUAGGGCUGAAUAUGGGUCAGUCCUCCACACAGAGAGACUGGGGCUGAAUAUGGGUCUGUCCUCACAGAGAGACUAGGGCUGAAUAUGGGUCUGUCCACACAGAGAGACUAGGGCUGAAUAUGGGUCAGUCCUCCACACAGAGAGACUGGGGCUGAAUAUGGGUCUGUCCUCACAGAGAGACUAGGGCUGAAUAUGGGUCAGUCCUCCACACAGAGAGACUAGGGCUGAAUAUGGGUCAGUCCUCACAGAGAGACUAGGGCUGAAUAUGGGUCUGUCCUCACAGAGAGACUAGGGCUGAAUAUGGGUCAGUCCUCCACACAGAGAGACUGGGGCUGAAUAUGGGUCUGUCCUCACAGAGAGACUAGGGCUGAAUAUGGGUCUGUCCACACAGAGAGACUAGGGCUGAAUAUGGGUCUGUCCUCACAGAGAGACUAGGGCUGAAUAUGGGUCUGUCCUCACAGAGAGACUAGGGCUGAAUAUGGGUCAGUCCUCCACACAGAGAGACUAGGGCUGAAUAUGGGUCAGUCCACACAGAGAGACUAGGGCUGAAUAUGGAUCAGUCCUCCACACAGAGAGACUAGGGCUGAAUAUGGGUCAGUCCACACAGAGAGACUAGGGCUGAAUAUGGAUCAGUCCUCCACACAGAGAGACUAGCCUGCCCUGUUCUGCCAUGAGCCCCAGUCAGCCAUUCAGUCAGCCAGCCAGCUUGCCAGCCGGCCAGUUAGCCAGCCAGCCAGCCAGUCAGCUAGCCAGCCAGUCAGCCAGCCAGCCAGCCAGUCAGCUAGCCAGCCAGUCAGCCAGCCAGUCAGCCAGCCAGCCAGCCAGCCAGUCAGUCAGCUAGCCAGUCAGCCAGCCAGCCAGUCAACCAGCCAGCCAGUCAGUCAGCCACACUGGAUACAUAUUGUACAUCUAUUAACUUGUUCUGCGUACUGGUGCAGUCUUAACCUGCUGUUCAAUGUCUGCAUGAGGAUGUGAACAGGGUCCGUUUGCUUUUUUUUUAUAACGAGCUCCUUUUCUGUCUGGCACAAUCUGAAGACACCGUGUUGUGGUCGGACGUUUUAAACAGGACUUGUCUAGGACACCCAAGGACAGACGGGACAAGGGGGAGAAAAUGACGUUCUGAGUUUAAGUCCAGGACUUGAACACUUCAGGCACCGAGGACAAACAGGUGACAGGGGAUGAAGACUGUGUUUUUUUUCAUCUAGUGUGGUUUUGUGGUGAUGCUUCUCAAGAAUCCCGACCGGAGCCUGGUCCUCCCUGCCUCUGGCCACAACCCAAGUGUACUGACUACUGAUAUUAAACAGCCUGGACAUAGAAGUCUAUAUCUACUGAACGCAGACGGUUCAGUGCUUUCUCUGCCCAGGCCUCGACGUACCCAACACCUGAACUAUGCCCCUGAUGCAACGGACUGAACAACGGGUUGAGCUGUGACCUGGACCAUGUUCGCUCAAAUGGGACAAAAACAUUUAAACGGGUGGGGAGAGGUACUAUCAGAAUUUAGCUGAAAAAUGUAUUUUUGUUGUUUCUUUGUAUUUUGUCUCAUUGGUUGUUUUUCCUCCUUGUUUAGGAGCUGCUACGGUGUUUCCCAGACCCCAAGUCCUGUUCCCCCCUUUACCAAUGUUUCCCAGACCCCAUGUCCUGUCCCCCCCUUUACCAAUGUUUCCCAUGUCCUGUCCCCCCCUUUACCAAUGUUUCCCAUGUCCUGUCCCCCCUUUACCAAUUGUUUCCCAUGUCCUGUCCCCCCCUUUACCAAUGUUUCCCAUGUCCUGUCCCCCCUUUACCAGUGUUUCCCAUACUUGGUCUUGGGCCCCCCUUUGGGUGGAUGUUUAGUUUCUGCCCCCAGCACAACACAGCUGAUUCAAGUAACCUACUGGUCAUGAAGCUUUGAUCAACUGAAUCAGCUGUGUAAUGUGGGGGGGCCCCAGGACCCAGUUUGGGAAACAUUGCUAACAGAAAGGAGCUUUAGCACCAAACUGCAAGAUCAUCUUUUUAAUUUGAUUUUAAUGAGGACUGAUGAUGAUGAUGAUGAUGAUGAUGAUGGACUGAAUGAAAUGCUGAUGUCUUACUGUACCCUCGUUUCCACCCCCCACCACAACCCCCUGUCUUACUGUACCCUCGUUUCCACCCCCCCAACCCCCUGUCUUACUGUACCCUCGUUUCCACCCCCCCACCACAACCCCGUCUUACUGUACCCUCGUUUCCACCCCCCCACCACAACCCCCUGUCUUACUGUACCCUCGUUUCCACCCCCCCCACCACCACAACCCCCUGUCUUACUGUACCCUCAUUUUCACCCCCCCACCACAACCCCUGUGUUACUGUACCCUCGUUUCCACCCCCCCACCACAACCCCCUGUCUUACUGUACCCUCGUUUUCACCCCCCCACCACAACCCCCUGUCUUACUGUACCCUCGUUUCCACCCCCCCACCACAACCCCCUGUCUUACUGUACCCUCGUUUCCACCCCCCACCACAACCCCCGUCUUACUGUACCCCCCCUACCACAACCCCCUGUCUUACUGUACCCUCGUUUCCACCCCCCAACCCCCUGUCUUACUGUACCCUCGUUUCCCCCCACAACCCCCUGUCUUACUGUACCCUCGUUUCCACCUUGGUUGCGUCCCAAAUGCUGUUCCCUAAAUAGCCAGGGGACAUACCCAAAACAUUAAGAACACCUUCCUAAUAUUGACUUGGUGGAUUAUAUAUGACAUUUAAGCAGUCAGCUGUUGUAUUUAAACAUGUCCUUGUCCGAGACCUCUCAGUAUUGAGUUGGUGAGAAUAACAGGAUGUUUCUCUUCCGCUGCCCAUCAGAGACGAAUCGAGUCUGAGACGAGCUGCUCUUUAUGCUGAAUCAAGUCUUGAGACGAGCUGCUCUUUAUGCUGAAUCAAGUCUUGAGACGAGCUGCUCUUUAUGCUGAAUCAAGUCUUGAGACGAGCUGCUCUUUAUGCUGAAUCAAGUCUUGAGACGAG
RNAcentral lists this long non-coding RNA (4297 nucleotides) under Salmo salar (Atlantic salmon). RNAcentral describes it as "lncRNA (ENSSSAG00000098210.1)". Lineage: Eukaryota; Metazoa; Chordata; Actinopteri; Salmoniformes; Salmonidae. The record is from RNAcentral.